GAAUAAAAAAUGGAAUUGAGAAUGCAAGAUAAAAAAUGAGGUUGAAAAUAUAAGACAAAGAAUGAAUUUGGAAAAAUAGGAUACGAAUCACAAAAUAAAGAAUACAAGAAAAAAAAACAAGGCUAGCAACAUAAGACAUGAAACACAUGAAAGAAAUAUGGAUUAGAAAGGAAAGACAAAAAACAAGGGCUGAAAAUGGAGGAUAUAGAACAAAGAAUUGAUGAUAGAGGACAUGAAAUGAGAGAUGCUUGGAUUAGAUUUUCUUUAAAAAAAAGUCGAUCUUAGAGCUUUUUUAGUAUAAUAGAAUGAAAGGACUUGCCAAAUUCUACAAAGAAUAAUAUAAAAGAAAUAGUGCCCUUUCAUAGAGAAUAGUUGUGGCUAUUAUAUAAAAAUAGAUAAA
RNAcentral lists this long non-coding RNA (400 nucleotides) under Physcomitrium patens. RNAcentral's name for it is "long non-coding RNA (PPAT_LNC001546)". The record is from RNAcentral. Lineage: Eukaryota; Viridiplantae; Streptophyta; Bryopsida; Funariales; Funariaceae.